Cyprinus carpio carpio is the source of this 2447-nucleotide long non-coding RNA. The record is from Ensembl. Lineage: Eukaryota; Metazoa; Chordata; Actinopteri; Cypriniformes; Cyprinidae.
CAGCUAUUUUUCGUUUUUGAGUUAGCUUUUCCUUUAAGGUCAAGUUGAUGCAAGUUCUUUAGAGUACUUUUCUGAAUAAAAAGUUGCAGUGUAUGAUUAAAACAGCUGUUUUUGCGUUUCACAGUUUGCCUAUAUUUUCUAUUUCCUCCCAAAUGGUCUGUAAAUGGGACAGAGUUAUUAAAAGUACUCCUUAUAUGAAUUUAAAAGCACCAAGCAACAGUGUGUAUUUGCAUAAAAGCAUCGUUUUUGUGUGGUUCAUCUCUCUUGAGGCUGGUUUGGUGUGCGUGCUGUUCAUAAGGUGUCUCUCAGAACUAUUAACCAUGGAAAAAAACAUUAAGAGUUCUGUUAUUUAUCACGAGUGAAACUCGCCCACGCAGCAGCUCCCUCGCAAGUACACAGAAUUCAUAACUGCUAAUUCAAUAAAUGAUUAUACGCUUGCUAAUUGGCUUAUAAUGAAAUAUUCGGUGUGAGAGACUGAGAGCUACUUAGGGAGAAAUUAAUUGCUGACAUGUUGUUGAUAUCUAUUUUUGCUAAAAGAAAAAGUAACUUAAGACUGGGUCCUUAAACUUUAUUCAUUCGGCAGAAGAUUUGAUCAUUCAAGCCAUUCUGUUGCUUAAGGUUUGUACUGACAAUUUUUUGCUCACAACAACAUUUUUUGGUGGGUGGGUCCCACUCAGGGGGUCCUAGUCCCAGCAAUUGGCCCCGAACCAGGCCCCGGGACAGCUUUCCCGGUUGUGCCCUGCUGUUGAUGGCCCAGAUUGGGUGUUGCAAGAGCCAACUGACCAAAUGUUUGGAGAAAAUCCAAGAAUUGUAGUAUUGGCUUAUAUAUUUGGAUUGAAACGUGGAUUGCUCUGCCUCAGCUUUGGAACAAACACUCAAAUGUAGAAAUGAUUAGUGAAUUUUUUAUGGAAACUGUGCUAUUUCUGAUAUUUCAUUUGGUUUAGGAACAAUACUGUAUGUGGCACAGACCAGAAUAAAGCAUCCAUUAAGCCUGGCGAUCAUCUGAAUUGGGUCAGAACCCAGCGUGAACGGCUAAAGUCCCCAUUUGAGUCCAGCUCAGACGUUUUAACUCAUAAUCACGUUCGUUUGGCCGCUGGGCCUGCUGGAGGGUCCUCCGUUAAGACCCUGUGAGAUAAAAUACUGAGGAAUGGCAUGCGGAAGUGCUAAUCGGAUGAACGGAUUGGUGCUUGUUGGACUUCCAGCUUUGUGAAGUUAGCUGCUGUGCUAACAGGCAAAAGAAAUGCGGCCACACCUUUCGUACAGGGCCAGCAAAUGAACAAGCUGUUGGAGUAAAAUAUUACAGGAAAUGUCAGUGAAAUCAUUAAAUGAGGAACUUCUAUCAUAAAAAGCAGUUCAAAGGGAUUCCUGCAGUAGUGCCUUUAUUAAAACGUGCCCUGACAGCAUGCGGUGUCAGCAUCUGUAUCGCAGCACGGAGUUUAUGGAGAGAAUUACAGAGAGUGUGAUGCCGUUCCAAAACCUAGUGAGCUGCGUAGCUGUCUGCAGCCGGCUAAACAGAAACUUAACUAGUAGAAACGUAGGUUACAGUUAGGAUUCAUCACAGGAGGCUUGAUUUACAAUUGAUUUCAAUAGAGUAUGGUGUUAGCAUGUUGCUAAGCUAACCAUGUGGUACUCUAAUCAACAUAAACACACACAGAUUGGGUAAAGUAGUUAUUUUAUUACAUUUUAUUUUUUAUUGAACUAUUGUUAUAUCUCUAAUUUUGGUUUUCAGUGAAUUAUAUUUCUCUUAAGUUCGCCAUCUUAAUAUGCUGCCUACUUAGUGAGCUCUCUAGGGUUUGAAACAGAGUUCCUCAACAUUCUUGUCUCAUUGGGGUUUGUCUGUUGACAGAAUUGUGUGUGAGAAAUGUAAAAGAACCCAAAACCAUGACCCCAUUGACUCUUUCCAAUUGUGAGCCAUAACUUAAUUAUACUAACGCACACACACACUUACAUGCUUGCCUAAAACCAGAGGACACUCUAAAAAUCCUCAAAGGAUCAAAGGCUGCAUGCCAAUGCGAUCUCCUGUCGCGUGAACCGCAACUGAGCCCCUUAAACACAUGCAGACCGCCACCGUCGUCAACGGGGACUGGCACGCUGUUGCUCCGGAGGGAACGGCCCCCCUCUGCAGCUCACAGAAAGAGGGUGAAACAAAAGACUGGUACAAACAAAGGCUGAUGGAUGGAAAGAAAAGUAGUGAACAAGAAUAGAGAAUUAAGAAGAAUUGUGCAACCCCCUAUGAGAAAGUACUACAGAUAUAACACAAAAUAAGUCACUAAAUGUGAAAAAAAGAGAACUGUAUUAAUUAUUUACAUCACAGUACAAAACUGGUUCCCAGUGCAACUAGCAUCAAGUUUAUGCUGCAAAAAAAAUUGUUAAUAAGGUGUUAAUUAGGCGAUGAAUAUGUUUUAUUGGAGUCAACGUUUUAUAGUUGUAAGUAUUAUUUAUAUAAU